GCAUCGGUGGUUCAGUGGUAGAAUGCUCGCCUGGCACGCGGGCGGCCCGUGUUUGGUUCCCGGCCGAUGCA
Molecule: transfer RNA, 71 nt
Filed under: Heliconius melpomene (postman butterfly)
Lineage: Eukaryota; Metazoa; Arthropoda; Insecta; Lepidoptera; Nymphalidae
Description: tRNA HMEL011722
Rfam family: tRNA
About the family: Transfer RNA (tRNA) molecules are approximately 80 nucleotides in length. Their secondary structure includes four short double-helical elements and three loops (D, anti-codon, and T loops).
Source: RNAcentral